RNAcentral lists this ribosomal RNA (465 nucleotides) under uncultured bacterium. Its description in RNAcentral is "partial 16S ribosomal RNA". It matches the Rfam family "Bacterial small subunit ribosomal RNA", at positions 28 to 507 of the family's 1533-position model. The record is from RNAcentral.
GACGAACGCUGGCGGCGUGCUUAACACAUGCAAGUCGUACGGUAAGGCCCUUUCGGGGGUACACGAGUGGCGAACGGGUGAGUAACACGUGAGUAACCUGCCCACAACUUUGGGAUAACGCUAGGAAACUGGUGCUAAUACUGGAUAUGUGCCCCUGCUGCAUGGUGGGGGUUGGAAAGCUCCGGCGGUUGUGGAUGGACUCGCGGCCUAUCAGCUUGUUGGUGGGGUAGUGGCCUACCAAGGCGGCGACGGGUAGCCGGCCUGAGAGGGUGACCGGCCACAUUGGGACUGAGAUACGGCCCAGACUCCUACGGGAGGCAGCAGUGGGGAAGAUUGCACAAUGGGCGCAAGCCUGAUGCAGCAACGCCGCGUGCGGGAUGACGGCCUUCGGGUUGUAAACCGCUUUCAGCAGGGACGAAGCUUUUUGUGACGGUACCUGCAGAAGAAGCACCGGCUAACUACGUG